The sequence is a regulatory RNA element, 128 nucleotides long. It matches the Rfam family "PyrR binding site". Rfam says of the family: This family represents the PyrR binding site and terminator structure. This RNA structure is found upstream of a variety of genes involved in pyrimidine biosynthesis and transport. The record is from Rfam.
AGGUCCUUUAACUACAGUCCCGUGAGGCUGAGAAGGAAAUCGUGAUAUGAAUACUAGGGGAAGACUGUCCUCUUAUCUUCGUGUACAAAAAACGAUCCUCUCGCCAAUCGGUGAGAGGAUUUUUGCUU